ACUAUGCCCAGCCAUAAACCUUGAUACUUUCAUACAAUUAGUAUCCGCCAGGGAACUACGAGCACCAGCUUAAAACCCAAAGGACUUGGCGGUGCCUCAGAUCCCCCUAGAGGAGCCUGUUCUAGAACCGAUAACCCCCGUUAAACCUCACCACUUCUUGCCUAUUCCGCCUAUAUACCACCGUCGCCAGCUUACCCUGUGAAGGGAAAAAAGUAAGCAAAAUGGAAACUUUCCAAAACGUCAGGUCGAGGUGUAGCACACGAAGUGGGAAGAAAUGGGCUACAUUACCUGACACAGGAUAUUCACGGAAAGUCACCUGAAACGGUAAUUCAAAGGUGGAUUUAGCAGUAAAAGAGGAAUAGAGUGCCCCUUUGAAGCCGGCUCUGAGCGCGCAC
This 395-nucleotide ribosomal RNA is filed under the name Coilia nasus (Japanese grenadier anchovy). RNAcentral's name for it is "partial 12S ribosomal RNA". It matches the Rfam family "Bacterial small subunit ribosomal RNA", at positions 789 to 1386 of the family's 1533-position model. Lineage: Eukaryota; Metazoa; Chordata; Actinopteri; Clupeiformes; Engraulidae. The record is from RNAcentral.